RNAcentral lists this ribosomal RNA (323 nucleotides) under uncultured bacterium. RNAcentral's name for it is "bacterial SSU rRNA". It matches the Rfam family "Bacterial small subunit ribosomal RNA", at positions 29 to 379 of the family's 1533-position model. The record is from RNAcentral.
AGCGAACGCUGGCGGCAGGCUUAACACAUGCAAGUCGAACGAACCCUUCGGGGUUAGUGGCGGACGGGUGAGUAACACGUGGGAACGUGCCCUUAGGUUCGGAACAACACAGGGAAACUUGUGCUAAUACCGGAUAAGCCCUUACGGGGAAAGAUUUAUCGCCUUUGGAGCGGCCCGCGUCUGAUUAGCUUGUUGGUGAGGUAAAGGCUCACCAAGGCUACGAUCAGUAGCUGGUCUGAGAGGAUGGCCAGCCACAUUGGGACUGAGACACGGCCCAAACUCCUACGGGAGGCAGCAGUGGGGAAUCUUGCGCAAUGGGGGAA